AUCCCAUCAGCAACCAGACUCAACAUCUGGACAUCACUCACCUCUGUCACACAUGUUCAGUCCACUGUUGUGGUCCUACUGAAGCUGUGAUCCGAUUGGUCCUCUCUGCUCUGGUGGGCGUGGCUACUGUCAUUCUUGUGGUUUAUGAAAUCAGAUCCAGAAGAGCUGAAGGAGAUCAAGCAGAGAUUCACACAUCAGGAACUUAACUGAUAAUGUAAUUUCUCACACUGUACUUUUCAUAUACAAAUAUUUGUGAGAUAUAUUAGUUUAUAGCUUUAUAUGUUCAUCUUUUUUUAAAUUGAAUGUAGAAUGCUGAACUUUAAGAUUAUUCAAGUGUGUUUUUUGUUCUUCUAGUGUUUUGUCAUGAUAAAUACUGAUGAUUAUUUGAGCUUCUGCUCUCUGUUUCAGUGUCAGAUUUUUAAAAAUCAUAUUUGUAAGGCUUUAUUGUUUAUAUUUCUCUCAAAUAAUAAAAAAAGAACAAAGAGACACAGAUCUCGCUUUACUACUGCUGUAUAUCUGUCAUAUGUAUUUGCUUGUCUUUAUCAAUAAAGUUUUCUCACUCUUA
Molecule: long non-coding RNA, 565 nt
Organism: Megalobrama amblycephala (Wuchang bream)
Lineage: Eukaryota; Metazoa; Chordata; Actinopteri; Cypriniformes; Xenocyprididae
Exons: 2
Source: RefSeq, a predicted model, not a curated record